GGUCGGUGGGGGAGAACCUCUACACCGCCACGGGAAGCUACACAGCUGGGAAGGAAACUGCGAACUGGCAUGGAGAAGUGUGUGACUACACGUUCAGCAGCAACUCCUGUAAGGAUGGGGCUGUCUGUGGACAUUACACACAGGUAAGGAAUGGUCAGGUGUGUGACAGGUAAGGAACAGUCAGGUGUGUGACAGGUAAGGAACGUCAGGUGUGUGACUACACCUUCAGCAGCAACUCCUGUAAGGAUGGGGCAGUCUGUGGGCAUUACACACAGGUUGUGUGGGCUGCCAGUACUAAGCUUGGGUGUGGUGUGAAGCUGUGCGACACUCUCGCCACUGUCGACUGGAACAACGCCAACCUGGUGGUGUGUAACUACGCUCCCGCAGGUAACUUUGGUGGACAGAAGC
This is a long non-coding RNA of Branchiostoma floridae (Florida lancelet), 408 nucleotides long. RefSeq lists it as uncharacterized. NCBI's taxonomy places the organism in Eukaryota, Metazoa, Chordata, Leptocardii, Amphioxiformes, Branchiostomatidae. The transcript is spliced from 4 exons. The record is from RefSeq and is a predicted model, not a curated record.